Molecule: long non-coding RNA, 1531 nt
Organism: Populus euphratica (Euphrates poplar)
Lineage: Eukaryota; Viridiplantae; Streptophyta; Magnoliopsida; Malpighiales; Salicaceae
Exons: 8
Source: RefSeq, a predicted model, not a curated record
AAAUUUUGUAUUUUGAAGGGCUAAAAUAAUAACUAAUAAACCUUUGCAAAACCCUGGAGUUUGGACCUUACCCUCUGUGACCCCGAGGUUUCCUCUCUUCCACCGCCACCAAGCUGAAAACACAGACACUGCAAAACGGGAAAGGGAAAAAAGACAAGUUAAGGAGGAAAGCAUGAAACUUUAUUAACAAAAGAGCAAAGGAAAUGAAGGAAUAGAAGGUGGGAGAUGAAGAGCUUUUUGUCACUAUCUACUUCUUCUGCUACAGCUUUCCAUUUUUGUCAUCUGAAGGCUAAGGUACAUUGCAAAGACAUUAUAUGGUGAUGAUGAGGAAGAAGAAACUCUUCAAGAUACUAAUGAUACUAAUGUUGAUGAAAUAAGACUGCUUGAUGUUCAUUCAACUUCCGAUGAGAAGGUUCUUUUGAAAAAAGGUCCAUAUGGAUUCUAUGUACAGCUUGGUGAAGAGAGGACAGAUAAAAGAUGUGGAUGCUAUUGCUCUUGAAGUUGCUCUCGAUUUGCUACGCUACCCUCGGACAUUGGGUGACCAUCCAAAGGACGGGCAUCCUGUGAUACUAAAGAUCGGAAGGGUUGCAUAGAUGGUUAAACAACGCCAAACAAUGGUUUCUGUUCCCAAGUUGAAGGGACUAUUACUGAUGCAUGAAGUUAGAGGGGAAAAAUGGAAUGUAAAGAGUCAUCCCAAAUGGAUUGGGCCCCCCGUAUGUGGGGAACCCUAAGGGGAUUAGCAUGGUAGUGAACUACACUUUUAAGUUAGUGUGAGAUAAGGGCAAACGAGGAUCAUUGCAUAUUAAGGGGGACGUAUCAUUUUUGUGAACCGUUAUGGCUCCUGUCUACCUCAAGGUCAAUCACUGCUUACGAUCACAGCGAAGUGGGGGGAAUACCGGCGCAAUUGGGGAGGGAGACUAUUAACAGUAGUUAUUUGCAUGAAAUGAUUGCUUAGGACGUCAGACUGGAGAAAGCGAAUGUAGGUCGAUCCUGCCAAACCUAAGAGCAAACCGAGAGUCAAAGAAGCUGUUGAGGCUAGGGAGAGUGGAGUUGGUAAAUAGUAAAUACAUGGAAUCAUUUUUGGCUAACGCCUUGAAACAAUGAAUGAAUCAAUGGAUCUGUUGAACGAAGGCAGCUUUUUAGUUUCAACAGAAGAAAACAUUGCUCUUCUGAAAAGGGUUCCAGCCCCUGUAUGGACAAGAGAGAUUCUUCUUACAAUAUAAUUUUGUACAGCAGUGUAAGAAUAUGCAAUUAUAUUGCAAGGUAGCAAUUGAAAUGUCUUGUUGGGGUUUUUUUGGACAGUCUGGUUGCCGGUUUCACAAUAUUCAACAGACUGGCCAUUGCUUAAAAUCUUGGAAAGCUGCUGUGUGGUAAUUUAAGUUUAGAAAUGAUGCACUCACCAUGGAAAUUCUUCUUCUGAAUAUUUUUUUGGGGAUAUGUUUAUAUUUAUGCGUUAUAUUAUUUAACUUGGAUGCUUUUAUCUUUGUAAUUAAUUGAAGCUUUGGAAUUUGUUUUGGAAACAAGUUGGCGA